Molecule: non-coding RNA, 148 nt
Organism: Lasiosphaeria ovina
Lineage: Eukaryota; Fungi; Ascomycota; Sordariomycetes; Sordariales; Lasiosphaeriaceae
Source: the annotation of a GenBank genome assembly
GGCAAGAUGGCCGAGCGGUCUAAGGCGCCACGUUAAGGAAUUUUCAAAUCUCUUAAUUCACUCACGAUGCGGUUUGGCAUCCUUGUCACAUUCACAUCAUAUGAUUCCGUGGUCCGAAAGGGCGUGGGUUCGAAUCCCACUCUUGUCA